RNAcentral lists this ribosomal RNA (465 nucleotides) under Vreelandella stevensii. RNAcentral's name for it is "partial 16S ribosomal RNA". It matches the Rfam family "Bacterial small subunit ribosomal RNA", at positions 338 to 795 of the family's 1533-position model. The record is from RNAcentral. Lineage: Bacteria; Pseudomonadati; Pseudomonadota; Gammaproteobacteria; Oceanospirillales; Halomonadaceae.
CCUACGGGGGGCUGCAGUGGGGAAUAUUGGACAAUGGGGGCAACCCUGAUCCAGCCAUGCCGCGUGUGUGAAGAGGGCCCUCGGGUUGUAAAGCACUUUCAGUGAGGAAGAACGCCUGGUGGUUAAUACCCAUCAGGAAAGACAUCACUCACAGAAGAAGCACCGGCUAACUCCGUGCCAGCAGCCGCGGUAAUACGGAGGGUGCGAGCGUUAAUCGGAAUUACUGGGCGUAAAGCGCGCGUAGGUGGCUUGAUAAGCCGGUUGUGAAAGCCCCGGGCUCAACCUGGGAACGGCAUCCGGAACUGUCAAGCUAGAGUGCAUGAGAGGAAGGUAGAAUUCCCGGUGUAGCGGUGAAAUGCGUAGAGAUCGGGAGGAAUACCAGUGGCGAAGGCGGCCUUCUGGACUGACACUGACACUGAGGUGCGAAAGCGUGGGUAGCAAACAGGAUUAGAUACCCGUGUAGUC